Molecule: ribosomal RNA, 1962 nt
Filed under: human gut metagenome
Description: bacterial LSU rRNA
Rfam family: Bacterial large subunit ribosomal RNA
Source: RNAcentral
GAAAGUAAUGAAGGGCGUACGGUGGAUGCCUAGGCUCUUACAGGCGAUGAAGGACGUGAUAAGCUGCGAAAAGCCGCGGUGAGGCGCAAAUGGCCCUUGACCCGCGGAUCUCCGAAUGGGACAACCCAAUAUCUUGAAGAGAUAUUAUCCCGCCGAUGCGGGAGGCGAACGCGGGGAACUGAAACAUCUUAGUACCCGCAGGAAAAGAAAAUAAAGAAUGAUUCCCCCAGUAGUGGCGAGCGACCGGGGAAGAGCCCAAACCGACGUUGUCUCGGCAUCGUCGGGGUUGUAGGACCGCGCCAUCGCAAGAAAGGCCGUGAGUGGAAGCGACUGGAAAGCCGCGCCAUAGAGGGUGACAGCCCCUUACACGAAGCAGCCCGAAGCGUAGCGGACUCCUGAGUAGCGCGGGACACGAGUAAUCCUGUGUGAAUCCGCCGGGCCCAUCCGGCAAGGCUAAAUACUCGUAAGAGACCGAUAGUGAACCAGUACCGUGAGGGAAAGGUGAAAAGUACCCCUUGCAGGGGAGUGAAAGAGUUCCUGAAACCGUACGCCUACAAGCGGUCGGAGCAUCUUGAAUGAUGUGACGGCGUGCCUUUUGCAUAAUGAACCUACGAGUUGCCGUCACCAGCGAGGUUAAGUGCGAUGACGCACCGAGCCGCAGCGGAAGCGAGUCUUAAAAGGGCGCGAUAGUUGGUGGAGGCAGACGCGAAACCGAGUGAUCUACACUUGUCCAGGAUGAAGUCCCGGUAACACGGGAUGGAGGUCCGCACCAAUAAGCGUUGAAAAGCUUCUGGAUGAGGUGAGUGUAGGAGUGAAAGGCCAAUCAAACUCGGAGAUAGCUCGUACUCCCCGAAAGGCAUUUAGGUGCCGCCUGUGGCGUUCCCGACGUGAGGUAGAGCGACUGAUAGGAUGCGAGGGCUUCACCGCCUAUCAAGUCCUGACAAACUCCGAAUGCACGUCGGCCAAGCCAUGGAGUAAGGGCAUGGGUGCUAAGGUCCGUGCCCGAGAGGAGAAGAAUCCAGACCACCGGCUAAGGUCCCGAAAUACUGGUUAAGUUAGACUAACGCAGUCCGGCCCCCAAGACAGCUAGGAUGUUGGCUUGGAAGCAGCCAUUCAUUCAAAGAGUGCGUAACAGCUCACUAGUCGAGGAGCUGGGCGUGGAUAAUAAUCGGGUAUGAAACCAGUUACCGAAGCCGUGGGAUGCUUAAGCAUCGGUAGGGGAGCAUUGCAUGCGGCUUAGAAGGCGGGGCGUGAGCCCCUCUGGAGCGCAUGGAAACGCAAAUGUAGGUAUAAGUAACGACAAGGGGGGUGGGAUGCCCCCCCGCCGAAAGACCAAGGUUUCCUGAACAACGCUAAUCGGUUCAGGGUCAGUCGGGUCCUAAGCAUAAGCCGUAUGGCGAGGGCGAUGGACGAAACGGUUAAUAUUCCGUUACUGUCUUGGUGUGUGACGCGGCGACGGAGUAGUGACACGGCCGCCUCCUGACGGAAAAGGGGGUUGAAGCGCAAAGGUGUCGAGGAAGGCAGGCAAAUCCACCUUCCGAGCCGAAGCGCGAAAGUACGCCGGGCCCUUUGGGGCAAGGCGAUAGUGCCGGUAAUCAGACUUCCAAGAAAACCCGCUAAACUUCAGCACCAAGUCACCCGUACUCUAAACGGACACACGUGGUCGGGUAGAAUAUACUAAGGCGCUUGGGAGAUUCACGGUUAAGGAACUAGGCAAAUUGACCCCGUACCUUCGGAAUAAGGGGUCCUCGCUUUUGCGAGGCGCAGAGAAUAGGUCCAGGCAACUGUUUAACAAAAACACAGGGCUGUGCAAAAUUUGAAGAUGAAGUAUACAGCCUGACACCUGCCCGGUGCCGGAAGGUUAAGAGGAGAGCUUAUCGCAAGAGAAGGCUUGAAUUGAAGCCCCGGUAAACGGCGGCCGUAACUAUAACGGUCCUAAGGUAGCGAAAUUCCUUGUCGGGU